AAUAGGCUAAUUAAGAGCGUAAGGGGAAUGCCUUGGCUCUCAGAGGCGAUGAAGGACGUGAUAAGCUGCGAUAAGCUGUGGGGAGUGGCACAAACACUUUGAUCCGCAGAUUUCCGAAUGGGGUAACCCGGCAUAUUGAAGAUAUGUCACACUGUAAAGUGAGCGAACCUGGUGAACUGAAACAUCUAAGUAACCAGAGGAAUAGAAAACAAAAGUGAUUCCGCUAGUAGUGGCGAGCGAACGUGGAACAGCCUAAACCUAUGUUGUUACGGCAAUAUAGGGGUUGUAGGACCUCAACAUUUAAUGCUAAUAGAACUAGAAUUUACUGGAAAGUAAAACC
RNAcentral lists this ribosomal RNA (340 nucleotides) under uncultured Flavobacteriaceae bacterium. Its description in RNAcentral is "bacterial LSU rRNA". It matches the Rfam family "Bacterial large subunit ribosomal RNA", at positions 1 to 356 of the family's 2925-position model. Lineage: Bacteria; Pseudomonadati; Bacteroidota; Flavobacteriia; Flavobacteriales; Flavobacteriaceae. The record is from RNAcentral.